ACAGCCUAGCACCUAGGGCAAAAAUAGCACGCCCGCAUAACACCUAAUCUAUCAUCUCCAUGCUCUCGCUGCAGCCAAGCCGGGCGAUGAAGUCGCCGGCGAGAUGGAUUAAGCCUCUCCUUGGGCUAAUCAUGUACCCUCAACGUCAACCCGUAUAUAGCUCCUCUCCCAUGAUGCCUCCUCUCUGUUGUUGACGUCUUCUACACUACGAUCGGUAGCGGGGUAAAAGGCGUACAGAUCUCAAGGGAAGAUGAAUGCCUAACUUAGCCGUGGGCUCUGGCUGAAGCGCAAGUUGAUCCGACAUUAUCUGACUCACGUAUCGUCGUGCUGAUCAUUUUUUUGAAGGUAAGCACCCGUCCAAUUUUUGGAUCAUGGAUGCAUGAUAAAUCAAUCCAUAUAUUCCAAAGAAAGGGAAGGGAAAGGAUAAAGUGGUUACAAAGUACAUCCACGAGAACCGAAUCUGAAGCCAAGGUGUAAACCUUGCCCUGUUCCAUAGUAGCCGGAUGCAGGCUCAAGCCUCAGGAGGAUCACCGGGCAUGCGUACUGUCUGCAGAUCAAUAUGCAUGCAACAUACGUAAGAGAUAGGUUAGUUACAUCAGAUGCAUAAUGUAUUAGACCCCCAACAGCCGUCAGGAUCUUCAAAACAGCGAGGCGAGGUCUCAGGGAUUCGGGCAAGAAGACACAUACGCUGACCAAGCAAAGGAAGCUCAGUAGCAUAUUCGUACGGUCAUUGGACUGCUACCUUAUUAUUUCUGGUUGAGAGAGAGUAGGGGUUGAAGACGACGUCUCGGCCGUGCUGCCUCACUUGGGACAAUGCCAUCCCAUUACAUAAGCAAACUUUACCAAAACCUACUCUUCUGGACAAUGGUGCAAGUACAUUAUGCAGAAAAAAAGCUCUGAAGCUGGAUGAUGGAUUGCCCAGCCAAUGCUUUUUUGCCAUGGAUCAGAUGGUAUAUACGCACAAUCCGGAAGCAUGUUGAUUACUUCCUAACAUUGGCUGGAUGCACACGUACUGACGUACAAGAGGACUUGAUGGAAUCUUACCGGAUGGAAAAACACCCACAAGCAAAACAUGCACGUGAGUGGAUUUGAUUGCAAAAGAAUCAUUUAGUGAUUUACACUAACGUAGGCUACCUAAAUACACUCCUAAUCGUUGAUUAUUUUAAUGUCACAGCUGGACAGGAAACCACACAUCGUGGUUAAUUCCAGCAUGCUCCAUCUCACGUUGUCCAUGUAGGUGUAGUUGGGAUGUGUUCUUUGUUUACAGAUUUGUUUGGAUGUGUUCUAACUCUACUUACUUUGUACAGCUUGCAUAUGAUUUUUCAGACCAUAUUACCUCAAUAUGAAAUUUAAGAUAUGUGGUUUGGAAGUAGAUAUUACAAUUAGGACUAAUUGUAUUGGUAUAUGUAUUUUCUUUGAAAUAAAACAAUAUAUCAGUACUAGAAAUUUAUGAUGUGAUGGUUCAUGUACACGCUGACCCAUUGUUUAGGUGACUUCAGCCUUCCGGAUUUGAGUUAGGAAAAGGACAUGAUUGUCCUGUUGAAUUCGGGAUCACCAUGAGUGAUUAAUCAAAAUGCAAUACUGAUAACCAUAAGAAAUAUGUUACUACAAAAAUCAGAAAUAUCUAUCCGUUUAUUUAACAGAGUAAAGUUUCAUGGCCAUUAAAUAGGAUAUAUAUAUAUAAGUGAACAAAAUUUACCUACCAAUGCCAUUAUAAUCGUAAUAGCACCAACAUGUUUUAUUUGGCAAUUUUUGUUUUUGAAAAGGUGGAUCUAUAUGGCUGUCAAAAAAGAUGGGUUAACUAAAAAAAGAUGGGUCUAUAUCGCUACACUUUUGCCUUGCCCUAGAGGCGAGCCGCCAAAUUGCUCUUGCCCUGUUGCUUUGUUGAUGUCGUCGUCUGACUGCUGAGGAUAGAGGAAGAUAAGUAAAAUCUCCUCCAUAGUUCACUGGUGUUAGGCCUACAUCUUCCUUGCCCUUCUGUCUGAUCUAUACUGCUAUGAGUCAAAGACGACGGACGUCGUCAUGUUGGGCUGUAUGCUAUGAAAAAAUUGAUCCACACAGGUGCAGCUCAAAUUCAUGUGUAUGUGCUAAUUGAUCCUUAUAGGUUAUGUUAGCUAGGUGCAGGAUUUCAUCAUGAAGGAAUUAAAUCUAGCUUGCUUCGUCGUCUUGCUGGUAGUACUACAUAUGCUUGUGGGCCGGUGCCAAAAGAGGUCGCAGGUUCGCGCUUAUCCGCGGGUCAGGUUGACAUUCUAGGGUACAAAAUAAAGGCCAUAGAGCACACUCACUUGAUCAGUGUAUUCAGCAAGACUCCUAGAGUCCCAAUACGCUGGACUACAAGAAGUGCCAACCAUUGGUACCACAAGACAAUGGGUACGAUAACGAAGCAAGAAUCGUCUGUGAAGCAAGCAACAACAUGGUGGAGAAACGAGCUCCUGGAUUUUCUGGCCAAGCACAUCAACUGACUCACCAUCAUACUUCGUCAACCUAACGCAAACCCUCAAUUUCUUAACGUUUGUUAUGUAUUUUUCUAGCAUUAGAUCAAAACCAUGGUC
Molecule: long non-coding RNA, 2552 nt
Organism: Triticum aestivum (bread wheat)
Lineage: Eukaryota; Viridiplantae; Streptophyta; Magnoliopsida; Poales; Poaceae
Exons: 5
Source: RefSeq, a predicted model, not a curated record